Molecule: ribozyme, 64 nt
Filed under: Aedes aegypti (yellow fever mosquito)
Lineage: Eukaryota; Metazoa; Arthropoda; Insecta; Diptera; Culicidae
Description: drz-agam-1 ribozyme
Rfam family: drz-agam-1 ribozyme
Source: Rfam by way of RNAcentral
UGCCCAGCAACUCCUAUCCCUACCUCAUCGUGGUGCUGGCCGGUACGAGUAACCUUUGGGAAGA